Molecule: ribosomal RNA, 630 nt
Filed under: Inosperma calamistratum
Lineage: Eukaryota; Fungi; Basidiomycota; Agaricomycetes; Agaricales; Inocybaceae
Description: 16S ribosomal RNA
Rfam family: Bacterial small subunit ribosomal RNA
Source: RNAcentral
CUAGCUAACUGAAAUCACAAAAUCAUAAUAUGCUAUUGUGAUAACGUAAAGAAAAAUGAUAUACUUUACUAUAAGUGUGUCUAAAUAACUGGUGCCAGAAGACUCGGUAACGCCAGAAACGCAAACGUUAGUCGUCUUAAACAGGCGUAAAGGGUAAGUAGGCUGCUUUAAUUUCUAGUUUGCUCCAGCGGAAUAUAACCGCAAGUAGGACGAACAUAAUAAUAAUAAUCGCUUGAUUUCAAGUAGCUAUUGCUUCGUUUUUAUCUAUAUAAAAAAAAAUAAAGACAAGAAGGUUGCUACUUGCUAGCAAGGUAAUAAAAUAUAAAUGGAUAUAUUUAAAGCUAGAAUCAUAAAGGAGAUAAACCAAAUAAUACUUAAGUGUAAGGGCGAUAUCUAAAAAUACUAAGUAGAAUACUAAAGGUGAAAACUUUUUAUCUGGUAAUGAUUGACGCUGAGGUACGAAAGUGAGAACAGGGAAUAGGAUUAGAUACCCAGUUACCUCUCACCGUCAACGAUGAAUGGUAAUUAUUAAUUUAAUUAAAUUAAUAAUGAUGUUAACGCGAUAACCAUUCCGCAUUGAGAGUACAGUUGCAAAACUGAAACCAAAAAAAUUAGUCGGUCUCGGAGCAA